CUUAGUAACGGCGAGUGAGCGGUAAAAGCUCAAAUUUGAAAUCUGGUACUUUCAGUGCCCGAGUUGUAAUUUGUAGAAUUUGUCUUUGAUUAGGUCCUUGUCUAUGUUCCUUGGAACAGGACGUCAUAGAGGGUGAGAAUCCCGUUUGGCGAGGAUACCUUUUCUCUGUAAGACUUUUUCGAAGAGUCGAGUUGUUUGGGAAUGCAGCUCAAAGUGGGUGGUAAAUUCCAUCUAAAGCUAAAUAUUGGCGAGAGACCGAUAGCGAACAAGUACAGUGAUGGAAAGAUGAAAAGAACUUUGAAAAGAGAGUGAAAAAGUACGUGAAAUUGUUGAAAGGGAAGGGCAUUUGAUCAGACAUGGUGUUUUUUGCAUGCACUCGCCUCUCGUGGGCUUGGGCCUCUCAAAAAUUUCACUGGGCCAACAUCAAUUCUGGCAGCAGGAUAAAUCAUUAAGAAUGUAGCUACUUCGGUAGUGUUAUAGCUUUUUGGAAUACUGUUAGCCGGGAUUGAGGACUGCGCUUCGGCAAGGAUGUUGGCAUAAUGGUUAAAUGCCGCCCGUCUUGAACCC
Molecule: ribosomal RNA, 567 nt
Filed under: Hanseniaspora uvarum
Lineage: Eukaryota; Fungi; Ascomycota; Saccharomycetes; Saccharomycodales; Saccharomycodaceae
Description: partial large subunit ribosomal RNA
Rfam family: Eukaryotic large subunit ribosomal RNA
Source: RNAcentral